GCGAGACUUUGAAAGGGAGGAUAAAGAGAGCGCUGCUCCAGCCUACGUCCUAUGUCAUCCCCACAGUGUGAGUCGUGUGAGUCUGGGAAAGCUUGGCUUCCCUGUACCAAGGCUCUGUGAUGUCAAACAGCUGCUCUAAGACUCCCAGACAGACCCUGCCCCCCACAGCAGGGCUUCACUGAUGCAAAUCCCUCCACCCCCAGCCUGUUUCCAGCACCAGCCCAGGACUGUGAUUCAUCAAGGCCGCUGUUAAUGAGACCAUCUAACUGAGCUGCUCCCUGCUCGGACUCCAUGUUCCCGUACAACUUAAUGCCCGACUGAAGUGUGACGGUGCCUACACAGCUGCCUGUGCCUGUAGAACAUGGAGAGCCCAAAAGCCUCAGCCCCAGCACAUCUGGAGACAGCCCUUACAGGAGCCCAACUUCAAAGGCAUGCAUACCAGGGCCAUGAGUGCAUGACAAUGUCCGAAGGAGUCCGCUCCCACUGCUCCAACACCAGGACCUAGGAACCUGGCACCCUGCUUAACUCGUUGAGUUGAGGCAAAGGGCAUCACUCCGAAAACAAGCUCCACCAGAAGGAGCAAGAGCUUUGCUCAUUACAUAUGUAAGCGAUGAGUUGUCUGGGUGAAACCAUGGGCUUACCUGAACAUUGUCAGAACCUUGUGAUGGGAACAAAGAAGCCUAACACAGCUGUGAGCCCCUCUCUGGCCUUUCACCCCUCAUCAGUGCACUCUGAUGUACUAAUACAAUGACACACACCCACACUUCACACCAACCUAUUAACUUGGUUUAGGGACCAAAUGCAUAUAACAGCGAGAUCAAAGAGGCCUUUCUUGGUCAUUUCAGCAUCAGUAUUGAGUGUUUUACAGCCCAUGGGAAGAACUGUGACAUCCUCCAGCCAUCGCUCAAGGAUAGUGGAACCAUCUCUAAAUCUGAUCCCCAUCCUCGUAUAUCAAUUCGGUAUCUAA
Scleropages formosus (Asian bonytongue) is the source of this 967-nucleotide long non-coding RNA. RefSeq lists it as uncharacterized. Lineage: Eukaryota; Metazoa; Chordata; Actinopteri; Osteoglossiformes; Osteoglossidae. The record is from RefSeq and is a predicted model, not a curated record. The transcript has 3 exons.